This 503-nucleotide ribosomal RNA is filed under the name Nesameletus ornatus. RNAcentral's name for it is "partial 16S ribosomal RNA". It matches the Rfam family "Bacterial large subunit ribosomal RNA", at positions 1801 to 2577 of the family's 2925-position model. Lineage: Eukaryota; Metazoa; Arthropoda; Insecta; Ephemeroptera; Nesameletidae. The record is from RNAcentral.
UGUUUAUCAAAAACAUCGCCUUUUGAUUGAAAUAGAAGGUCUAACCUGCCCACUGAAAAGUUAAAGGGCCGCGGUAUUUUGACCGUGCAAAGGUAGCAUAAUCAUUAGUCUUCUAAUUAAAGGCUGGAAUGAAUGGUUGGACGAGGUGUUAGCUGUCUCACCAAAAUUUUGCUGGAAUUUAACCUUUUAGUCAAAAGGCUAAAAUAAUAUUGGAGGACGAGAAGACCCUAUAGAGCUUUAUAGUUUAAAAAUUAAACUUAUUUAGAGGGAUUAAGGUUUAAUUUGAAAAGUAUUUUGUUGGGGUGACAGGGAGAUACAAGUAACUCUCUUUAAAAAUUGUCAUAGAUGUAUGUUUAAUUGAUCCAUUAAUAAUGAUUAUAAAACUAAGUUACCUUAGGGAUAACAGCGUAAUCUUUUUCGAGAGUUCUUAUCGACAAAAAGGGUUGCGACCUCGAUGUUGGAUUAAGGGUUAUUUUUGGGUGUAGAAGUUCAAAGUUUAGGUC